RNAcentral lists this long non-coding RNA (5735 nucleotides) under Podarcis lilfordi (Lilford's wall lizard). Lineage: Eukaryota; Metazoa; Chordata; Lepidosauria; Squamata; Lacertidae. The record is from RNAcentral.
GCGCCGCAACCCCAGAGUCGGCCAUGACUGGACCUAAUGGUCAGGGGUCCCUUUACCUUUACCUUUAUGUCUUUGUUUAAUGAAGGGGAGGUUGUAGCCUCUGCCUGCCCCUCCUCAAUAAGGGCAUCCUGUUAAAGGGAUUUGGGCGUGUGGAUCCUGUCCAAAGCCCAGGCGUGGGCUAGGGCCAUGCCAUUAUUCCAAGGGGUACCCCUUGGGGUGCCCCUAUUUGAUGUAUGUCAUAGGGGUUUACCCUUAGCUGGACUCCCUGCAGACGGGUGGGAGUUGAGAUAUAGCCUGGUUUCACCCAAUGCCUAACCCAAACCGCUCACAUCUGUAGCCAAUAAAGUUGUAGCCUGUUUUAGCCCAUAAUCCAAAAUACUCGGGUUGGUGUGCUUAUUAAUCAGUGGGGAGCUACAGGGCAUGGGGCCUUGGGACGCAACAGUGUAAAAAACAUAAACAACUCAAUAACAGCAGGUGAAAAGUGUAACCAGUAAGAAAACAUAACUGAAAGUAAAAAUGCAGAUGGAAACAGAAGCAGAGACAAACAAAUCAACUUGUAGGCCAAAUGCCCAUUUAAAUAAAUAGGGGUUUGUCUGGUGGAAGAGGGCCAUUCGGCAGAUGGUAAUGCGACUCUCCAAAGUCUUGACACAGCCCCUGAGACGCCAUAGAAUCAGAUGGAAUGAGAUUUUGAAACCCACAUCCUUUCAUGUGGAACAAGAUUUUUCAACUGCUGCUUAGAAUCAAAAGGGUUGGUUGCCUAUAAACUGUUGUUGUUGUUUAGUCGUUUAGUCGUGUCCGACUCUUUGUGACCCCAUGGACCAGAGCAUGCCAGGCACUCCUGUCUUCCGAGCACGAUUCAAAGUGUUGGUGCUGACCUUUAAAGUCCUAAAAGGCCUCGGUCCUGUAUACCUGAAGGAGCGUCUCCACCCCCAUCGUUCAGCCCGGACACUGAGAUCCAGCGCCGAGGGCCUUCUGGCGGAUCCCUCAUUGCGAGAAGUGAGGCUACAGGGAACCAGACAGAGGGCCUUCUCGGUAGUGGCGCCCGCCCUGUGGAACGCCCUCCCAUCAGAUGUCAAAGAGAUAAGAUGUCUUCUGAAUGUCAGGUAAUUAUUUAAGGCAGCCCUGUUCAGGGAAGUUUUUAAUAUGUAACGCUGUACUGUUUUUAACACUGAUUGGGAGCCGCCCAGAGUGGCUGGGGAAACUCAGCCAGAUGGGCGGGGUAUAAAUAAUAAAUUAUUAUUAUUAUUAUUAUUGUUAUUAUUACACUGCCUCCCAGUUUGGUCAAACUCAUGCUAGUAGCUUCCAGAACACUGUCCAACCAUCUCAUCGUCUGUCGUCCCCUUCUCCUUGUGCCCUCCAUCUUUCCCAACAUCAGGGUCUUUUCCAGGGAGCCUUCUCUUCUCAUGAGGUGGCCAAAGUAUUGGAGUCUCAGCUUCAGGAUCUGUCCUUCCAGUGAGCACUCAGGGCUGACUUCCUUCAGAAUGGAGAGGUUUGAUCUUCUUGCAGUCCAUGGGACUCUCAAGAGUCUCCUCCAGCACCAGAACCAUAACUACUCUGCCCAAAUGGAUGGCCGUGCUCUCCCACAAUAUCAACAUAGGAAGCUGCCUUAAACUGAGUGUGUUGUCUUUAUUGGCUGGCAUUAGCUCUCCAGAAUAUCUCCCAGUGCUUGCUGGAGAUCCUGGGGAUAUGAUCUAGGCCCUUCUACAUGCAAAGCAGAGGCUCUGCCACUAAUCUGUGGUCCUUUCCCCAACCAAGUGGACUGGGAACGUCCAGCAGGUUUAAAUAUACUGUCCACCUGGGUGCCAGCACAUGGAACAGCUCUUCACUGAUACCAUCUCCACAUUCAUGCAUUCUAAGCAUAUGAAAUUUAAGCCACCUGGGACAAUAAGUGGCGGAUGUUAUCAUGCAACCCCAAUGCAAAUUUGCAAUUGAACUGUUCCUUGCACUUUAAGCUAUGUUUGUGCCUUGAUUGUUUGCUAUAUUCUUUUUUCUUUUCUUUUUUUACAACUAGAAAAGUGAUCUUGCUCUGAGGAUUGGUGUGUGUGUGUGUGUGUGUGUGUGUGUGUGGAAAGUAAAAAAAACAACAACCCAAACUGAAGAAUGUUGACAAAUUAAAUAUUGAUCUGGUUCUGCAUGCUGAGAAAAACAACAAAACGAAAAACCCAAAGCGAAAGAAAAAGACGGAGAGUGCAAUGAUUCAUUUGCUAGUGUGCUGGAGGUGAUGCCAGAAGCAUUAAUGAGUUUAACUGUUUGAGUGGUCCACUUGGGGUGCUGUCAGAUAAAAAAUGCCUCGAGAGCCUUGGGAUAGAAUUGGAAUCGAGAGGAGCCCAUCCCUUAUGGUUGACACAUGAACGGCAGUCUCCCUUGAGCUGAAUUAUACAGGCCAGAGUCAGAUGUUAUAUAUGGGGACAGGGAAGAAGGAUUUGAUGGUCCAACGUGUUCUGAGAUGAACGUCUUAUCAUUCCCUGAACAGGAGCUUAGUCUGAUUAUGCUGCAGGCAUGCUUAUGGCAUAGACUGGAACUAUGAUCCCUAUGCUUUUGAAUUAUGGUGCUGGAGGAGACUCUUGAGAGUCCCAUGGACUGCAAGAAGAUCAAACUGAUCCAUUCUUAAGGAAAUCAGCCCUGAGUGUUCACUGGAAGGACAGGUCCUGAAGCUGAGGCUCCAAUACUUUGGCCACCUCAGGAGAAGAGAAGACUCCCUGAAAAAGACCCUGAUGUUGGGAAAGAUGGAGGGCACAAGGAGAAGGGGAUGACAAAGGAUGAGAUGGUUGGACAGUGUUCUCGAAGCUACCAGCAUGAGUUUGACCAAACUGCGGGAGGCAGUGGAAGACAGAAGUGCCUGGCGUGCUCUGGUCCAGGGUGUCAUGAAGAGUCGGACAUGACUAAACAAUUAAACAACAACAACAAUGAUCCCUAACAGCAUUUAGAACACAGGAAGCUGCCUUAUAUUGACUCAAACCAUUGGCCCAUCUUGCUCAGUAAUGCCUACAUGGAUGACCAGCAGUUCCCCAGGGUUUCAGGUACGGGUCUUUGUGAUUCAAGGACCCGCCACCCACUUGUGAAUAAGAAAGACACAUGGACAUGGUAUAUUAGGUCAAUGGGCUAAAAAAAGGCCACAGCUUUAUUGAUUACAGCAUAUGAGAGGUAUUGGCUUAGGCAUUGGAUAAAACAACAGAGCGUGACUCCAUCCCCUCAGGGAGGGUGAGUCUAUCAAGGAUUAACCACCAAUGGGAGGAGCCUGUUGAUGCAAAUACAACUGAAAGCUCCCCCUGAUGUCACCGGGGGUAGUGCCAUGGCCCUAGCCACCAGCAAGGGCGUCGGACAGGAUCCACGACCGCUGGAUUCCUUUACCGGAAUACCCAUAAAGAGGAGGGGUAGGUGAUAGCCACACCCUGCUCUCCAAUCCACAAACAUAUUCCAAUACCUAACUGCCAAUACUAAAAGUUGUGAUGAUUUGCUAUGAGGUAGGCAAAAAACCAAGUGGCCGGUGCCAAUUUGCCAGCUGGAUAAAAAUUCCUACCAGGCCCCUUGGACAACCAAGGCGUCCAACCAUAGGUCCAUAGCAAUGUCAAGAACCAAGCAAUGAACUAAAGGGAGGGUGCAUGGGUGAUCCGACGAAAACCAGCAGCAGAAUGAAUAGGAAGCGCUGCCGCAGCCGCGUUUGGGCGGCUAAACUCCACCCCCAAGCCUCAACCUGAUUGGUUGGCUGCCUGGGGGCGUGGCAUGGCACCGAAACGCCCCCUGCCAAGGCGUGAAAUGGCUCCCACUCACAACUCCUCCCCUCUGUAAGGAGGAGAGGCUUUCCUGUCACAGAAGCAUGCUGGUAAGUAAUCAAACUGUUCAAAGCUGGAUAUUCAUUAGCAAAAAUACAAUCCCCACAGACCUGGCUGAGUGUCUGUUCUAAUGAGCACAGCAGCUCAUCCCCAGUGAUCUUACUCCAUGAAUACCAGCUGCCGAGACUGAAGGUCUGCACCUCCUCACAACCAAGUUCCCUCCUCUCCAGGGCUUUCCCCAAGCAAUCAGAGACUGAGACUGCAUGCAGCCUGCUGCCUCCCUCCUUGCCUGCUUUAGCUUCUGCCUCCGAUUCUGAACUUAUUUCUGCCACAGACUCUCCCAGCUCACUAAGCCCUGUUGCCUCCUCAUCUUCUGACACCUCUCCCCCAUCUUUUCUUUCUUCUUCCUCUGCCCAUUCAUCAUUGUCCCACCACCACUCCUCUUCCCUUGGUGGUUCCUUAGCUGGUUCCUCCCACCACUCCUCUGCAUCCAACCAAUCCAUGAUCCUUCCCAACCCUACCAGGAGAUGCUGAGGAUUGAGCCUGGGACUGUAUGCAUGCAAAGCAGAUGUUCUACCAUUGAGCUACCACCCUUCCCUAAAAGGGAACAUAGGAAGCUGUCUUCUGCUGAGUCAGACUGGUGGUCCAGUGGUCCACACUGAUUAGUAGUGGCACUCCAGGGUUUUAGGCAGAAGCAUUUGCCAGCCAUAUCUGUCAGGAGCUCAUCCUACACUCGAGUAGGACCCUGGCAGAGACACAUGCCCGACUGGCAUGUUCUCUUCCUCCUGGUCGAUCGUUCGGGAGCUUUUCAAAAGCUUUCUUUCUUUUUUGGGGGGGGGAUUGUAGGGAAAGACCUGCCAAAAAAGUUGAAAAACAUCUUCAUGUAUGCGACAACGGCCGCCAGAGUUCUGGUAGCACAAGGAUGGAAGACUGAAGAAACCCCAACUAAAGAAUCAUGGCAAGAAAAAUGGAUGGACUAUGCAGAACUGGCAAAACUGACAUACAAGCUACAGGACAAGGAUAACUGUGACUUUAAGGAUGAAUGGGAACCUUUUACAAAGUAUCUGAAGAUGCAACAAAGCGAACUGGACUCCUUGGCAGGUUUUGAAUAAACAUACACAAACUUUUUAUUGAUAAUAAUCAGCUAAAUAGUUUGAGGAUCUAUACAACUUUGUAACAUGCAGAAAACAGCAUUCUUAGAGAAACCAAAGACUGAGGGAAGUCGGGGGGUGGGAGUGGGUGGGUUUUGUGUGGGAGGGGGGAGGAGGAAAAAUGGGGGGGAACAAGGAUGAUAUGUUUUUGGAUAAUAUGUCUUGUUAUAAUUUUGAAUAAAUAAAAACAAAACAAAACAAAACAAAGCUUUCUUCAGCCCGAACAUCACAUCGACUGAUGCCAAGAGACAUCGGCACACUUAGGGAUCCGCAGAGUCUUUGCAGCUUGCAUGACAGACCUCAGCAACUCAGCAUUUUGGCUAAUCUACUUUAUUUACAUAUAGACACACACAGAGCACUGCAACAUGGCUCCCUCUCUCUCUAGCAUCAGACAGCAAAGAGAAAAAGCACAAAGGACAAUAGUCCCACUUCACGGAACACAGUAACACAAACAUCCUUUCUCCGUCACUUCCCACUCUGUGGAGUCAAAACAUACACCGUCAUGUGAUAGACAACAAUCCCAUGACUGCAAUAAUGGAGCAGGAAUUCUAACUGCAAUCAUGGAGCAGGAAUUCUGAGACCUUCUGCAUGUAAGACCUGAGCCAUGGUCCUUUAUUCUACCGUGGGGCUUCUUCACACAAGGUAUUUUCUUUUGGAAAAAUCCCGUUUAGAGUCACAAAAUAGAUCCUUGCAUUAACUUCACCCAAGGCCAGUUUACACCAGUGUACAAACACAGGUGAAAGAUAGGCAGACGGAUACAAACACACAAUUUAUAUCUGCAAAAUAUAUCUUCGUUCUUCUCCAACAUGUG